UUAUAGACACCCCAUUUCAUUUAGGGUGUACUUUCAAAUUCUCGGUUCUGAUUUUGUCAAGAUCGUUGGGCUUCCAAAGGGCCCAUUUAAUUUUAAAUUGGUUGUGAAUAAUUGAUUUUGGGCUUUAGGCCCAACGUAGGUUUGUUUGGCAUUUAUUGCCAAAAUAAAAAAUUAAUUAAUAACAAAAUUUGAUUAACAUUAAAAAAAGGAAAAAAAAAAAGAAAAUCAAAAAGUUCUUUUGGGAAUC
RNAcentral lists this long non-coding RNA (247 nucleotides) under Durio zibethinus. Its description in RNAcentral is "long non-coding RNA (DZIB_LNC000161)". Lineage: Eukaryota; Viridiplantae; Streptophyta; Magnoliopsida; Malvales; Malvaceae. The record is from RNAcentral.